AGAAGGGGAACAAAAUACACAGUCCUCUUUUCGUGCAGGGCUUCAAGGCUUCAGCAGUCUGAGUAAGCCAAAUCAAAAUCGUCAAGUAGAGGCACACCUGGAGGGCAGAUGUUUGGGACCCAGAAAGGCAGCAUCACAGCUGGCUAUUUGAGCUCACUUAGUUCUACACCACCUGUGUUUUUGCAAGUACCUGUACCUCACUGUUGCUGAUCCUUAUUACAAGUUCAAAUGUAGUUUGUUGUAAAGUUGCCUUACAGUAUAUCAGCAAAAAGCAGAUGACAAAUCCCUCACACGUGAUCACAAAGAAAGUAGGGCAAAGACGUACAUGCAGUAAUGUACUGUAUGUCAGUGAAUUCUGAGCUCAGCUUGUGUGAGAUAAAUGUGAAGAUGUUGUAGACACGCGGUUCUGACUGGACAUAGUGAAAAGGGUCUUUUGUAAACACAUCAUGCAGACGUGGGACAGAGACAAGGUAUAAUGUAGAGGGGGCUGCCUGCCAAGUUUGAGGCUGGUUUACAGGUUGACCAGCAGGGCAUGAGAGCGUCUGUCUCUAACAAAACAUCCAGGUGCAAUAUUCACACCUCAGCUACAGGAUGGCUCUGUGGGGAAGGGAAGGCAAAGGUCAGCUACUGGCCUAGCUCUCAGACACUAGCAGCCUUUAUACUCCUGUAGAGCUGAGGGUCCAUGUCUGUAAACACACACACACACACACACACACACACACACACAGGCCCAUGCACGUAUCAGUGUUUCUAUUCUACCUCAUUUACUUUACACAACCUUUAAGUGAGAUUUGCUUCAGUGGUAUUUCACAGCCUUUAAUUGUGUUUUCGUAAUAAGAGCAAACAUCUUUACAGUCAAAGCGGCUGUUAGACACUGGGGUCUUUGGAGAAUGAAACCAAAGCAGAUGUCUGGUAAACAACUAACUUCACAACUAGAUUACACAAUUCUGUUUCCUUACAUGACAGGCACCACUCUCAUGUUUACUUUGGAAAAAUAGCAAAUCUGUCACUGAAAGAAUCCUCUCUUCAGUCAGGAUGUGUUGCUGUCUCUACAAAGUAAUUUCAGUAACAAUGCUGUUACUGUAUCACCUGCAGGCUUAUGCAUUCUGCUUUUGUCUUUCAAAUCCUGUUCAAUAUUCACUCUCUGUGACAACUGUUUGAAAAAACAAUUAAUAAUACAUCAUUACGGUAAUAACUUCAAGUGGAUGUCCGACAGCACUGCUGGCAGCUAAAGCUUUCUCCGUCAGUUUUGAGUCAAUGAUCUGGUUCCUCAGGUGUCAAUUGUAACAGCUUAAAAGAGGUAAUGUAAAACAAGUUAAUGAAUAAAAGACAUUAAAUGAAUAGAACAGCAUAGUUGAGGUAUAGCUUACAGCGAUGCUCUCACCCAGCAGCCUUCCUUAUGCUGCUUCUAGACUAAAUAAACCUCAUAUCAACACAG
This is a long non-coding RNA of Sander lucioperca (pikeperch), 1438 nucleotides long. RefSeq lists it as uncharacterized. NCBI's taxonomy places the organism in Eukaryota, Metazoa, Chordata, Actinopteri, Perciformes, Percidae. The transcript has 2 exons. The record is from RefSeq and is a predicted model, not a curated record.